GUCUAAUUUUUUUGAGGGUCGGUGGAAGGCUGGUUAAACUGUUUGGUUUUCGACCACUACGACCCAGGUUCGAUUCCUGCAUUGGACA
This 88-nucleotide transfer RNA is filed under the name Cordylochernes scorpioides. RNAcentral's name for it is "tRNA-Glu". Lineage: Eukaryota; Metazoa; Arthropoda; Arachnida; Pseudoscorpiones; Chernetidae. The record is from RNAcentral.